CAUAUUUCCCCAAAAGAGACUGGUAUUGUAACUGCCCCCUGCAAACUGCCCUGUCUUGGGGAGUCUGAAGACCUGCACUCAGCAGUAGGUGUUACUUAUUCCCCUUUCUGCAGAAUCUCAGAAGGUUUCUAAUUGGAUGGUUUGGUUUUGCUGGCCCAUGGAGAAUCUGUUUGUUUGUUUGUGUGAGUUUCUCUCUAUAUAUGCAUACAAUAAAAACAGCAGAAUGACACUAGCUAUUCUUAGUUAAGAAUUGGUUAUGGAAUAUAAACGCUGAAAAUUCAGAAGGAAAAGAGACAUUUUUUAAGGGUUUUUGAUUAUCUAUAUCCCCACUGUCCCCUAUCACUGUGUCCAGCUUUCUGUGGUUUCUUUCUCUAUUUUCAAAAACAUCUGUAGAGCAGUGAAGGACUUACGAGGUAACAACCUUCAUCUGUGUGGUUAUACAUUCAAAUGUGACUGCGGAGUAGAAGCCUGAAAUGAAAGGGCUUAUUAAUAACAUUUUUUAUUCAUACAGAAGUAAGAAAAGGCUUCGUCUGUUCAUCCCUUGAUUGUCUUUUUCUUUUCAAUUACCUUUCCUAAAAGGAAGUUUAAUGUUGUCUCUGGAUUCCUGCAGGUCUCCAGUCUAAAAGAAAAGGAAAGAAAACCAAACAAAACACUUUCAUCUUCAGGUAGGCUCUAUCAGUAUGGAACUGGAGAGUCAUAUAAUGACAGCCUACGCGUUUUCACUUUAGGGAAGAAAGUGUUUUACAGCAUAAAAGAAAUUGCUGCAGUGACCCAGGGGAGCUGCCAAUGUUUCCUGGAUGAGGACAAUUAACCAAAACAAUAUCAUUAAUUUUGCCACAGGUUUUAAAUGAUCUAGAAAGCAGAAUACAAACUUUGUCUUAAUAGACUCAAGUUAGACUCUGCAACAGAAGGAAAUUUCAGUAAAAUCCUGCAGCAGCCAGGGCUGUGAAUGAGAAACCAACACACCUGCAGGAAUAGAUAUGCAUGAAUCUUAAUGGUGCAACUGAACUUCUGUUAUCUGGGUUUAGAAGGGAAUAGCCUAGACCAGCACAGACCAGCACUGCUAUGUGCUCCAGCUGGCGCCAGUGUCACAGCUAGAAUCCUGGAGAUCUGACACCAGUAAUCACCUGCACAGUGCCUUUCCCUCCUACAAGGGUCUCCUGACAUACAGAUUUGCAUCACAACAGGCAUUGCCCUAAGAAAAUAUUAGCUCCACUUCACAGAUAAGGAAGUAGAAGUCCAUGACUUAUUCCCGCUUACACACCAGUCUCCAGGAAUGGUCCCUGCUGAAAUUUAAUUCCCACCUAACUGUGCUUACAGCGAUUUUAGAAAUUAUCAGCUUUGUGAGCCCCUUAGCCUUGGAAGUUUGAAAUCCCCAAGAAGAAAAGAGCUAGAUACAGAGUGAGGAACCAACAGGGAGAAUUGGAAAAAUUCCCUGCUCAUCGGCCGACUCCAGGCACUGCCUUGCUCAACCCCGCUGCUCCACACGUGCGGGCAGGGCUCUUGCUCAGGAGAACAACCCUUGGCUGCCUGUAGUGACAAGGCCUGUAGCAUUCAGGCUGGCAGCACUCCAGCCUGUGCGAUAGACGCUGUGGUAUACACAGAUCCUAGCUGGUUAUAACUGCAGUGCUUUAGUCAAAUACUUGUGCCAGGGUAUUGUUGCCUGCCACUGCCAUUUGCCAGGGGAGCAUGAGGCUGUGAUGGAUGCACACACCCCACCUGAGAGCAUGCCAGCCAGCCAGCGCGCUGAAGAGCCACAGCAACAAGGUACCAUUUUCCAAGAGCCUUUUUUUUUUUUUUUUUUUUUUUUG
This 1811-nucleotide long non-coding RNA is filed under the name Anser brachyrhynchus (Pink-footed goose). Its description in RNAcentral is "lncRNA (ENSABRG00000008874.1)". The record is from RNAcentral. Lineage: Eukaryota; Metazoa; Chordata; Aves; Anseriformes; Anatidae.